Rattus norvegicus (Norway rat) is the source of this 4004-nucleotide non-coding RNA. The record is from RefSeq and is a predicted model, not a curated record. NCBI's taxonomy places the organism in Eukaryota, Metazoa, Chordata, Mammalia, Rodentia, Muridae.
UAUCUUUAGGUAUCAGUUUCUCAAACAGCAUUCACUCUCUACUUUUAAGCUUUUAUAAUUACUUAAAGUUUCCAUUCCUCUGUAAUGCAAAAAAAGGACUUUAUUUUUAAACCUUUGAGAGAGCCAGAUAACCUUGAAAAUUAAGUAAGAUGAAAGUGUAAGCCCUCUUAACACACAAAUAUUUAAGAAGUUAAUCCCUUAAAAAUCCUUUUAAUUCAGUUCCAUGAGAGGCGUGGCAGGCCAGGAGGUAAGAAUUUUAGGUGUUUUAAUCUCGAAAUCCUAAGACCCACUGCAGUCUAAUGUUGAACGCCUCCAUCCGUCAUAGUUAGGCACUGGUCUAGGACAAAGAAAGUGCUUGGUAGGGGCUUGUUGGCUUGAGUGGAAUCAUGAGUGGGGUUAAAUUGUACAGAUGCGCCCUGUGUGGUGAGAAAGUCCAGAAAACACUGGAAAAAUCCAGUGGGUGAUCAAAGGACUUAUCUCUAUGACAACUUACUGCUCAGAAAGGCUUCUGUGUGGAAACUUUCUGGGGCAUACAUACCUUCUGCAUUUUCUGAGGCUAACUUAAUUUCAAAAUGAAUCACCUAAGUGUCCCAAGAACCAUCAGAAUGUUACAGGAAGUUCAUCAUUAUUCAUGUGUGUGCAAGUGUGUGUGUGUGUGUGUGUGUGCGCGUGUGCACAUGGAGAGGCCACAGGGCCACCCCAGAUGCUGUCCCUCAGCAGUUAGCCACUUUUGUUUGUUUGGUCUGUUUUGUUUUGCUUUGAUUUUCAGUCAUAAUCUCUUGUCGGAUAUGAGCUCACUGGGUAGGAUAGGCUAGUGGCCUAGCAAGCCCCGGGGACUGUCCUGUCACCACCUCCCCAGUUCUGGGAAUUCAAGUACACAUCACCACGCCCAGUCUUUUAUGUGUAUAAAUUUAUGUGUGCCAGGGAAUCAAACUUUGGUAACUCAAUAUGCACUUUACUGCCUGAGACAUUUAGCUUUCUUUUCUUGCCUUGUCUUUUGUCUUGUCUUGUCUUGUCUUGUCUUGCCUUGCCUUGCCUUGCCUUGCCUUGCCUUGCCUUGCCUUUUUCCUUUCCUUUCCUUUCCUUUCCUUUCCUUUCCUUUCCUUUCCUUUCCUUUCCUUUCCUUUCCCUCCUCUUCUCUUCUCUUCUCUUCUCUUCUCUUCUCUUCUCUUCUCUUCUCUUCUCCUCUCCUCUCCUCUCCUCUCCUCUCCUCUCCUCUCCUCUUCUCUUCUCUUCUCUUCUUCUCUUCUUUUCUCUGGCCUAGAACUUACUAUGUAGUCCAGGGUGGCCUCAGACUCACAGAGAUAGAUCUGCCCCACCCCCUCCUUCCCCCAUUGCAGGGAUUAAAGGCACAUCUCAUCAUAUUGAAAUGAUCAGCAUUUUAAACUGGAGCUCUGAGACUCGGAUCACUUUGAGGUGUUGGAGCGAUGCCUAAGCCCUCUGUGGAACAGGUGUUUGGAAUUCUGUAGACUUUCUUGCAGUUCCUAUUGCCCUGAAAAGACACCAUGACCACAGCAACUCUUAAAAGGAAAAUAUUUAAUUGAGGAUGACUCACAGGUUCAGAUAUUUAGUCUGUUAUCAUCAUGACAGAAUCCACACAGUCAGACUCAAUGUGGAAAUUAACUGAGAGUUCUCCAUCUCAAUCUGUAGGCAGUAGGAGAGAGAUACUGGGCCUGGCUUGAGCGUUUGAAACCCUAAAACCAGUAAUGCACUUCUUCCUACAAGAUCAUACCUACUGCAACAAGGGCACACCUACUCCAACAAACUCACACCUUCUGAUGGUGCUACUCCUUGGGGCCCAAACUUCAAAUAUGUCUAUGGGGUCCAUUCCUAGUUAACCUAACACAGUGACUACUUUCUCCUGCUGUUUCUGCUCUCUUUUUGGUUCUCCAGUCUCCCACUACUGUCCUUGGACCCAUACUACAGUAGGAGGGGGCCUUCCAAUGGUUGGGUAGGGUGUGUAGAAACUGUGGUCAGAAGCCAUUCCUAGGUCACCUUUGUUCCACACUGCUUUGGAGUGGGAAAUAAGUCACAGGAGGUGACUCGGAAACAGACACCGGGAAUAUUCUCUUCCACUACAGAAUUCAUAAGGGACUGUUUAUCCAACUCUACCUCUCUGGCUACGACCCUUCAUGUUCAAACCUAUAGGGCAUUACUGUCUUCUAAGGGAGACGUGCACAGUUACUCUAGAGAAAGGUGGUCUCUGCUUUAUAGCCAGAGUUACAAUUUCCUACCUGUAUGUCCCUUGGGUGUGCGGUUUGUCCUGCUCAUUUCCAUAUCACUAAUGUCCCUUUUGGCUGCAUGGGUGCUCUCCCUGAUCCAUUUCCACCAUGGCCUCUCCCUGGAAGAAUUUCUUCUUUUGCUUACAACAGCAGACACCUGCCUUUGAGUUUUGUUAAUGGAGAAAGGAAGUGCUGUUGGCCAGAUUUCCACAGCUUUCUGAGAAUCCCCAUAGCUCCCUUAACAAAUAGCUCACGUUUUCAGUCCAUUUCUUUUGGUUUUGUUUAUGCUUCACCGAGUUAGGAAAUUUCAUAUGCCACUCAGUUCCUCAGAGCAGCUGAUACUGGGACAGACUUUAGACAAUCCCUUGCAGGGAAUUCAGGAGCAUGGGAUCCCUGGUCCCAGCCUUCCAAGCUCAGUUGGUGCUUUGCCAUCGUGAGAACAAAGCAUGGCAUCUGCUUGCCUCGCCUCACGAGGUGUGAUCCUGACCUUGCUGUGAGCCUUAUUAUGGGCUGGUUUUCAUUCAGUGCUGUGCGCACAAUAGAACAAAUCUAUUUAAGAGUCCAAGUCCCUCUGGAAGCACGGCUUUCCUCUGACACACACAAAAGGGGUUUUCAGGCAGCAGAUCGACAGGUAGUAAUUUUAAUAGCCACUAAUGUGAAUUAAUAAUUCUAAUAACCUUGUUUCAGACGUGCUAUCAGGACACGGGAGAGGGUUGCCAUGGCUGCUGUGUUUUAUUGCCCACAGCUGUGCAAACUCAUCUUGGCCCACACAGUUCUCCUCUGUAACCUCUCCUUUCUUUGGUUUACUCCAUGUCAGGCCUGUGUGGAUUUAACAGCAGCGACAACAAAGAAAACUUAGGAAAAGUUAGGGUUUUAGCACUCGAGUAAGCAUCAUUAAGCGGCAGAAGGAAAGGCACAUUUUAGGACAGAACGUGGUGACUAGAUCAUUGAUUUCCAGGUCCAGUUUAUAAUUUGUCAGUGGUUUCAAAGCACAUUUAAAACAUGCUUUGGGGGCAUAAAAGACGUUUCCCAGUGAGCUACUUUAGGUAUAUUAUUUUCUACAAAACUCCAGAGAGCAUGCUUGCUAUGAGUUAUCCACUCCAAAAGACCACUCAGGGAGGGGUUAAAGCUGGCUAGGGGUGACACUGGGUGUUCGGAGACCAAAUACAGUUCCAAGCCUUUCUCAGGAUAAGUGUUUAAACACAAAAGCUGUAUCCCAGUUGACGUACCUUCAGUUAACAAGAGCAGUUAGCCAGAAGCAGAACUACAGAAGCCAUAAAACCAAGGUUAGUACAGUUAAGAGACUGCCCCAGAAAUGUAGACUUUGAUGGAUUAGGUCUUUGUUCUUGUUUUUGCAGGUGUCGAUGCCUAUGUGUUGGGUGCCAAGGCCUGAAUGGUACUUGCAUCAUGGCCUCAGUUGUGCUAAGAUCUGGAGGCCUGUUACACACUAACCUACCAACUUAGGCUCAUAACUCACCGUAGAACAGUGACUGCGUGGUCAAGUGUGCCUCCCACACUUCCUAUUAUCUCCCACACAUUCUCCUCUUUAAAUCUUAUAGCAUUCCUAUGUGAUCAUAUUCGUGGUUGGACACCUAGACCUCGUCUGGUGGGAUGCUUGCUACCACAGGUGCUGUGACACCAGAACCCUACCACCAAGGAGCCUGGAAACCUGGAGGCUUGCGAUGUCACUGAUGCGGACCCAUGAAGACUGCCAAUCCAAAACACAGAAAAGCUGUGGACAGUAUGCGGUGAUCUUUAAUUAAAGUAUAUUUUUUAAGCCCA